Molecule: transfer RNA, 71 nt
Filed under: Loxodonta africana (African savanna elephant)
Lineage: Eukaryota; Metazoa; Chordata; Mammalia; Proboscidea; Elephantidae
Rfam family: tRNA
About the family: Transfer RNA (tRNA) molecules are approximately 80 nucleotides in length. Their secondary structure includes four short double-helical elements and three loops (D, anti-codon, and T loops).
Source: Rfam by way of RNAcentral
AAAUUGGUGGUUUAGUGGUAGAAUUCCCGCCUUCCAUGCAGGAGACCUAGGUUUGAUUCCCAGCCAAUGGA